This 202-nucleotide ribosomal RNA is filed under the name Vibrio parahaemolyticus. Its description in RNAcentral is "partial 23S ribosomal RNA". It matches the Rfam family "Bacterial large subunit ribosomal RNA", at positions 592 to 796 of the family's 2925-position model. Lineage: Bacteria; Pseudomonadati; Pseudomonadota; Gammaproteobacteria; Vibrionales; Vibrionaceae. The record is from RNAcentral.
UGUGACUGCGUACCUUUUGUAUAAUGGGUCAGCGACUUAUAUUCAGUGGCAAGGUUAACCAUCUAGGGGAGCCGUAGGGAAACCGAGUCUUAACUGGGCGUUCAGUCUCUGGAUAUAGACCCGAAACCAGGUGAUCUAGCCAUGGGCAGGUUGAAGGUUGAGUAACAUCAACUGGAGGACCGAACCGACUAAUGUUGAAAAA